Molecule: transfer RNA, 78 nt
Filed under: Candidatus Heimdallarchaeota archaeon
Lineage: Archaea; Promethearchaeati; Candidatus Heimdallarchaeota
Description: tRNA-Glu
Rfam family: tRNA
About the family: Transfer RNA (tRNA) molecules are approximately 80 nucleotides in length.
Source: RNAcentral
GCCCCGAUAGUGUAGACCGGCCAAUCAUUGCGGCCUUUCGAGUCGCAGACUCGGGUUCAAAUCCCGGUCGGGGCACCA